This 319-nucleotide ribosomal RNA is filed under the name uncultured Chloroflexota bacterium. Its description in RNAcentral is "bacterial SSU rRNA". It matches the Rfam family "Bacterial small subunit ribosomal RNA", at positions 28 to 351 of the family's 1533-position model. Lineage: Bacteria; Bacillati; Chloroflexota. The record is from RNAcentral.
GAUGAACGCUGGCGGCGUGCCUAAUACAUGCAAGUCGAACGGAGUGCAGUAAUGUGCUCAGUGGCGAACGGGUGAGAAACGCGUUGGUGACCUGCCCCGGAGAGAGGGAUAACAGGCCGAAAGGCCUGCUAAUACCGCAUGGUCAACUGGGAGAUUAGAAACCUGGUUGUAAAUGGAGAAAUUCGCUCUGGGAGGGGCCUGCGUCCCAUCAGCUAGUUGGUAAGGUAACGGCUUACCAAGGCGAUGACGGGUAGGGGACCUGAGAGGGUGACCCCCCACAAUGGAACUGAAACACGGUCCAUACACCUACGGGUGGCUG